This is a long non-coding RNA of Salvelinus sp. IW2-2015, 506 nucleotides long. RefSeq lists it as uncharacterized. Lineage: Eukaryota; Metazoa; Chordata; Actinopteri; Salmoniformes; Salmonidae. The record is from RefSeq and is a predicted model, not a curated record.
GCGGCCAAGUAUUUUUAUGUGGUCUUGAGAACCUCUGGAAGACUGACGUGGCUCUUUCCUCUUUGGUUCUGCAGUAGGAGCAAGCAAAGCAUCAACUCAACAAAAUGGAGCUGGAGGCGAUGACCAGAUACACCAGUCCGGUGAACCCGGCAGUCUUCCCCCACCUCACUGUGGUUCUACUGGCUAUCGGGAUGUUCUUCACUGCGUGGUUCUUUGCUACGAGGUGACGUCCACUAAGUACACCAGAGACGUGUACAAAGAGCUGCUCAUCUCCCUGGUGGCGUCUCUCUUCAUGGGCUUCGGAGUACUGUUUCUCUUACUGUGGGUCGGCAUCUAUGUCUGACGGAUUGUUAUAUUGAUACAGAAGAACAUUCCAGUGGAACAGGAGAAGGACAUGAAAUGGGCUCCACUACAAGAUGGUUAURGAUUGGAUUGCACUGACAAGACAGUGGGGACUGUGGGUUGGGGUGGCCUUUCAAUAAAUAAGAGACAUUUGUACAAAACUG